GUUCUUCAAAGAGAGAAAAUAAUCCUUGAGGAAAAGCUGAAAAGAGCUUUACAGGAAGCUGAAAAUGCUAAUAAGCAACUUACAAACUUAGCAACAUCUGUCCCUGUUCAAGACACAGAAAUUGUUCAAGAUGCACCCACCAGUUACAAAAAUGCAGAAAAGGAUAAAAAUAAUGAUUCUGACAUUGAUAUGAAAAAAUAUGCUAAAGAUGCAUCUAAGAAGGGCCAAAAAUCAACUAAAACUGAAGGCAGCAGGGAAGAUCAUAUAGUGUCACCAUCCAAGUCCAUUAGUGAAGCUGAUGAAUUAGUACACAAAUUGCUAGCAAAGAACCAAGUGAAACAAGGAAUAAGGAAAAGUCCCGGAGAAAUGGAGGAAACUGAAGAAAUUGCAACACUGUCUCAAAAGAAGGAUGUUAAACUAGGAAAAAAAGGAUUAACAGAGGGAAAGAAGUCUGAAGAUCAUGGUGUUUCAGCAAGCAAGCUAAAAGAAAAAUACCUUUUUCAGGAGCAAGGAGAGUCAUAUAAACCUAAAGAAUUACUUUCUAGCAUGGAAGAGACUCCAAGACUUCCUGCUUAUCCAUCUGGACAGGAAAACAUGCAGUAUUCUUCUAAACAUGCUGAUGAGAAGCCAACAUCACUGUUAUCUGAUAAAACCCAGCAAAUGUCAACAGCAACCAGAGCAAACAGAAAAUCAGAGUCUCCUUUGAAAUUUGACCCCAAAGGACUGGUUACAGCUAAGAAAACGACAGAAGCAAAUGAAGGAGUUUCCCUGGAUAACAGCACAGGGGAGGAUGCAUGUGGCACCACCGAUUCAGAUUUUGUGAACCUUCCAGAAAUCCGAGGAGAGUCAGAGUCACAUUUCUCCUUAAACUGUCAAGAACAAUUAUGGCCCAAACCUUUAAAUGUACACGAAGAUUCACCCCAACUAAUCUCAGAAAGACAGAAGACUGCUAUGUCUGCUAAACCCAGUAUCCGAGGACAAGAUUGUUCUUUACCAUUGUAUGAAAACGAUAUGUUACCAUCAGUUUUACCUUCCAAAUAUCAAGAUGUGGCUCCUCUUAAAAGCUCCCUGACCAAUCAUAAAACAUCUUCUGAAUCUCAGAGUGCUGAAGAAGUUUCUCUUUUCUCUAUUGAAAAGAUACCCACUUCGGAGAUCCAGCAAAAAAUGCCUGCCGUUAUUACUCAAGAAGAUAAAAAGGCGCCUAUGCCAGUUCUUCCUGUCACACACACGACAAACGUAACUUUGGAAACUCACUCACCUGAGGGAGAAAAUCUUCCAUGGACUCAAAAAGAAGAAGUAGAUGUUAAAGAAAGACUUCCAUUAAUAACUCAAAUGAAUAAAAUGCAACAAGCAUCAACACUUUCACUGGCAGAAGCUGGUGUGAACACUGGGAAGAAAACAAUUGAGCUUUUGCACAGUAUGCUUGCUAAGCUGUCACCAGGUGUAGAAGAUCUGCAAGACAUAGAAGCUUUUGAAGACAGUGAAAUAGACAGCAUUACUGAGGAUAGAUUAAAUAAGCUACCAAAACUUCUUGGAAGCUUGGAGUCAAAUCUGAAAGACCUGCAGGAAGCACUGGCUCUGACAGAUGACCAAACAAGCAAUGUAAGUGAAAAGCAACUAUAUGACAUCCCACAAACAAGACGACUUCUAUUGUCAAGUUUGGAACCAACUCUGAAAGACCUGCAAAUGGCAGAGGCUAAUAUAAUUAGUCUGCCAGACAGCAUAAAUGAGGACAGACUGAAGGAAUUAAUCAACCAAAAAAAUAUUUUGCUGUCAAGUCUGGAAAAAAAUUCACAAGAUUUGCAACAAGCACAGGCUAUUGUAGUAGACCAAGACGACAAAUACAGAUUUUAUGAGAAAAAAAUGCAGGACCUAACAGAAAAAAGAAAGCUUUUGCUUACCAGCCUGGAAUCGAAUUGGAGAGAUUUGCAACAGACUCAGGCUCUGGAUGCCAGCCAACUUCAUGACAUGAAUGAUAAUUGCUUUGGCAGCAAUUCUGAUUUUUUUGAAAGAAAAUCAGAGGUGACUGGAAAACAGCCUCUAAAUAGUAGAACUUUGCAGCUAGAAUGUAUUCUUUCAGCACUUCCACUUGAUCAAGACAGAAGCUUUGCACCUGCAGAGCCAACUUACAACAGCGAAACCACAUCACCUAUUCAUCAAUUGAUGCCAAGCAGAGUUGUAUCCAGUAUACAUUUUGACUUUUCUACACUUCCAGCCUUAGUACCAGGAGACUUUGAUGCCUCAACUCCUUAUCAGACAGAAUGGGGAGCACUGUUUAUUUCUGGGAAGAGUUACCCUUUGCUGAGCUCAAAGAGUCAAGAAGCAAAAAGGAGGUGAAACAUCUCUGAUGAUAAAAUUCUCUCAUAUUCCUCUUAUUAGAAUAGUUGUGAUGGUAAACUUACAGCAUUAAUAAAAAUACCACUCUGUCACUCUCUUAUAGCCUG
Molecule: long non-coding RNA, 2444 nt
Filed under: Apteryx owenii (little spotted kiwi)
Lineage: Eukaryota; Metazoa; Chordata; Aves; Apterygiformes; Apterygidae
Description: lncRNA (ENSAOWG00000005457.1)
Source: RNAcentral